UUGAUCAUAUUUUAUAGGAUCCUUUAUAGUGCGAUUUCCCGGGGUUUUUGGGCCCAAAAUUUCGAAUAAUUCAACCCCGAUGAGGGACUGUUAGGGGAAUCCUCUGAGCGGGAAGCGGCUCAAGUGUUUGCUUGAGAGUUUUUGAUGACCCUUUUUUGACCGGUUUACCGUUGGGAGGGGACAACAGGCUGAGUGGU
Small nucleolar RNA from Penaeus monodon (black tiger shrimp), 197 nucleotides. RefSeq annotates it as small nucleolar RNA U3. The transcript has a single exon. NCBI's taxonomy places the organism in Eukaryota, Metazoa, Arthropoda, Malacostraca, Decapoda, Penaeidae. The record is from RefSeq and is a predicted model, not a curated record.